Molecule: ribosomal RNA, 164 nt
Filed under: uncultured bacterium
Lineage: Bacteria
Description: partial 16S ribosomal RNA
Rfam family: Bacterial small subunit ribosomal RNA
Source: RNAcentral
UAGGGAAUCUUCCACAAUGGACGAAAGCCUGAUGGAGCAACGCCGCGUGUGUGAUGAAGGGUUUCGGCUCGUAAAACACUGUUGUAAGAGAAGAAUGACAUUGAGAGUAACUGUUCAAUGUGUGACGGUAUCUUACCAGAAAGGAACGGCUAAAUACGUGCCAA